RNAcentral lists this unclassified non-coding RNA (350 nucleotides) under soil metagenome. RNAcentral's name for it is "partial contains 5.8S ribosomal RNA, internal transcribed spacer 2, and large subunit ribosomal RNA". The stretch from base 1 to 120 matches the Rfam family "5.8S ribosomal RNA", at positions 35 to 154 of the family's 154-position model. The record is from RNAcentral.
GAUGAAGAACGUAGCGAAAUGCGAUACUUGGUGUGAAUUGCAGAAUCCCGUGAACCAUCGAGUCUUUGAACGCACAUUGCGCCCCCUGGUAUUCCGGGGGGCAUGCCUGUCCGAGCGUCAUUGCUGCCCUCAAGCACGGCUUGUGUGUUGGGCCCCCGCCCCCCGGUUCCCGGGGGGCGGGCCCGAAAGGCAGCGGCGGCACCGCGUCCGGUCCUCGAGCGUAUGGGGCUUCGUCACCCGCUCCGUAGGCCCGGCCGGCGCCCGCCGGCGACCCCCCCUCAAUCUUUCCAGGUUGACCUCGGAUCAGGUAGGGAUACCCGCUGAACUUAAGCAUAUCAAUAAGCGGAGGA